Molecule: ribosomal RNA, 257 nt
Filed under: uncultured bacterium
Lineage: Bacteria
Description: partial 16S ribosomal RNA
Rfam family: Bacterial small subunit ribosomal RNA
Source: RNAcentral
GACGAACCGUGCGAACGUUGUUCGGAAUCACUGGGCUUAAAGGGCGCGUAGGCGGGUAGCCAAGUCGGUGGUGAAAUCUUUUCGGCCCAACCGGAAAAAGUGCCGCCGAUACUGGCUGUCUCGAGGGAGGUAGGGGCGUGUGGAACUGGUGGUGGAGCGGUGGAAAUGCGUAGAUAUCACUAGGAACGCCGGUGGCGAAAGCGACACGCUGGACCUCUACUGACGCUGAGGCGCGAAAGCGUGGGGAGCGAACAGGA